Molecule: long non-coding RNA, 710 nt
Filed under: Heterocephalus glaber (naked mole-rat)
Lineage: Eukaryota; Metazoa; Chordata; Mammalia; Rodentia; Bathyergidae
Description: lncRNA (ENSHGLG00100047004.1)
Source: RNAcentral
CUCCCCCCUUGGACUCCGCUCUGGGCCUUGCUCGGUCCCCCUGGUUUCUUUUAAUUCACAAAAAGUAACAACAAACAGUCCCCAGCCGCCUCCCUUCUCGGGCUCGUCCCUCCCGGUGCGGUUUGGCAGAGAAAGCCCUCGCAGUCCCCUGGAAGACUAUCCAACGCCGGCCGGCCGGGAGGCGCCCCGCCGCAGAAACCCGACGCUGAUGCCGGGCUCAGCCAGCCUCAGUUUCCUCAUCUGUAAAACAUCCUGUUGGGAAACAAGGGGCAGGAUUCAGCGUUUGGCCGAGGGUCCUGCGCUAUCUGCACACAGUGAAUGCGUUUCCAGCCCAACGGAAGUUGGAAACUUGCAGGCGCCCCUGGGGGAUGAAGGAAGGCCUGAGGAGCCUGGAGUCCCAGGCGGCAGAAGGCGCUGGGCGCUUCCCGCGCGGGCAGGACCGAGGGCUGCCUGAGGUUAUCCCUCACACAACCGGCCGUGGAGCCACAGGUAACCAGCCCGCCCGCCCGGAGCUGCCAGUUGGCUCAAGAGCGACGCGAAGGCCCGGCUGCGGCCCCUCAAGGUAACAGUUCCACGUGGAGGCCAGGAAACUUUGCGCGCCCCGGAGGAGGUCCCCGCAGCAGAGGGGCGCACCCGUCUGUGGCCGCGAGGGGGGCCGCGCAGCCGAGCCGGGGAACUCAGCCCCACGGCCCCGCCACGGGACGAGCUCC